This 408-nucleotide long non-coding RNA is filed under the name Manihot esculenta (cassava). Its description in RNAcentral is "long non-coding RNA (MESC_LNC013035)". The record is from RNAcentral. Lineage: Eukaryota; Viridiplantae; Streptophyta; Magnoliopsida; Malpighiales; Euphorbiaceae.
CGAAAGUCCUGUAUGUUCGGCCGCCGAACAUUGGCUUUCGGCCGCCGAAGGUGGUUUGCUCCCUAAGCAAAAUGUUUGGCUUCCAAAAGUGAAGGACAGAGGCAAAAGUCACCUAUGUUCGGCCGCCGAACAUUACCUUCGGCCGCCAAAAGCGUGCUUUUAAGUCUGCCUCCGAAGCCUAAUGUUCGGCUUCCGAAAGAGAGGGACAGAGACGAAAGUCCCACAAGUUCGGCCGCCGAACUAUGACUUUAGGCCGCCGAAAGUCCUUUUUUAAAGAGUGAUGUUCUUCACCUGAAUUGGUUCGGCCACCGAACUUUAGCUUAGGCCGCCGAACCUGAAUUUCUCUGAGAAAAAUAUAACGGUUAUUUCUGAACAUAAACGGCUCUAUUUGCAUUUAAUGCACCCCCA